GGUCUUGGCAGGCGCUUGGUUGACAGCAGGUGGGAGGUCGAGGCCGCCUACUGCCGUGGCACGGAGAAUUUCCUAGGCGCCCCGUAGGCCAUGUGAGGGUAUCCGCGGGACUCUGGUGGUGCCCAGGGCUCGUCUGGCUGAUGCCUCAGGCCCAAGAAGUAGAGCAGAUCACAUGUGGGCCACUUAGAGCCAUUGAACCGAGAGUUGUUACCCGACGGCCUCUCUUGGGAGAAUAAAACCCAUUAUGCCCUAGUUAUGUCUUAAUGCCUGGGUGACGAUGAUGUAGCCGUUCAGUAUUCCUGAGCGCACGCAGAAGUUGUCUUGGCGCACUAUUUAAGAAAAACAUUAAUAGACGAGACCACCCAACCUUAAAAAAUCUUCUCUGGAUUACCGUGAAUUCUCCAGAUGAAACCUACCAUACAUUAACUCACACAAAAGGUCCAAAAUGUGCAAACAUUUUGUUGUUUUGCAAUAACAAGCCUGCAUUCCUUUUUUCUGUUUGAGCAAAUGGUUAUGCUGCUUGUAAAGUCAAGGGCUGUGGAGAGGAGGACACGGUAGGCUUUAAAUAGAGUGAGGGGAACAGUAGAGCACUAAAAGUUCUAGGAAAGGAGAUAAACUGCUUAUUCCAUUAGGUAAAAUGAAAAUGUAGUCAGAAGAAAUUAGUGGUAGAACCCGAGGCUGCCCAGAAUUAACACGAAUUUGCGAUAGCCUUAAUAUACAGUAACUUCUGUUGCUGUAGAAAAACUAUACAGCCACUAGUAUAGCAAGUUAUGUUAGCCAGGGAAAAAAGUUUACUCACCUGGUUGAAUGUGUAUGCCAAUUACACUUACUCCGUAUCCUGUUAGAGAAACUAAAACAUGGACUGGAAAAUUCUGUUUGUGAGAUUAUUUUCUAUGAAGAUUGAUUAUCCCAGAUACUAUUGGAGGGCCUUGGAAUAUAUUCCUCUAAUUUACUCUACCUAUCCCAUUUAAAGAAGCUGAAGAUUUAGGACAAAAACCAGUUGAAGAAUUCAAAGCUCUGGAUAAUCAGGCUGAUUUUGAUGAUGGAAAUUAUCUACCUUGUGCUAAUCAAGUCAAGGGCAUAUAUGAAGUGUUCAUAAUACAUUUCCAGGGAAUUCUAAAUAACACAAGACUUAACUUCACUAAUAGCUCUAUGAGCAAAACAGUAAGAUCCAGGAACACACCAGACAGUUUUGUUUGCCUUGAAACAAAAAACCUGGGUUCAAGUUCCUGCUCUAACAUCGACAGGUCUGUAACCUGA
This 1260-nucleotide long non-coding RNA is filed under the name Zalophus californianus (California sea lion). RNAcentral describes it as "lncRNA (ENSZCAG00015010853.1)". The record is from RNAcentral. Lineage: Eukaryota; Metazoa; Chordata; Mammalia; Carnivora; Otariidae.